UUCGAAGUACAGGUGAGCAGGUGAUGCUGGAGCCUGUCCUUUCUAGUUCGCAAUGCCGGUGUCGAUUUCGAGAAGGAUUUUACGCUCUUUUGGGUCCUUGGGCGUUGGUCGUUGCAGUUCUCCAUGUCUCACUUAUCAAUUAUUUCUAACUUCUCUUGAUGUGUGUGGCCGUGUCUCCGGGGAUUGCUUAUUUUUUGCAGAAUCUUCUAGCUUUAUCAAGGGUGGGGCAGCUUCCCUUACGUAUAGGAGGUUUUCAACCUCUAUUCUCACUCC
This 273-nucleotide unclassified non-coding RNA is filed under the name Hevea brasiliensis (rubber tree). The record is from RNAcentral. Lineage: Eukaryota; Viridiplantae; Streptophyta; Magnoliopsida; Malpighiales; Euphorbiaceae.